GGGGGCUUCACCACCUGCUUAAUCAUCUGAGGAACUAUUUUCCCUAAAUAUCUCUACUGUCUUUCUGACACUGGUACAAAAGACAGCAAUCAAGUAUCCUGCCACCAAUUCACAGAAAUUCAACCUUCCUUGCCUCUGCUUUUCCAGAAUCAGCUAUGUGAGAUGUUCUUUGAAGAAUUUGCUGUUGCCUCGAUUAUCACAGGAACUGUUAUCCCAAAGAUCUCUUUUUGACCUGCUGGUCCUGGUACACAGAGAACAAGCAUGUGUUCAACAGCUGAGAUACAAAGUCUUUCUAUCUUCACUUCCAGGA
Long non-coding RNA from Condylura cristata (star-nosed mole), 310 nucleotides. RefSeq lists it as uncharacterized. The transcript has 4 exons. Lineage: Eukaryota; Metazoa; Chordata; Mammalia; Eulipotyphla; Talpidae. The record is from RefSeq and is a predicted model, not a curated record.